Molecule: transfer RNA, 71 nt
Filed under: Cordylochernes scorpioides
Lineage: Eukaryota; Metazoa; Arthropoda; Arachnida; Pseudoscorpiones; Chernetidae
Description: tRNA-Gly
Source: RNAcentral
UGCAUCGGCGGGGAAUCGAACCCGGGCCGCCCGCGUGGCAGACGAGCAUUCUACCACUGAACCACCGAUAC